RNAcentral lists this transfer RNA (86 nucleotides) under Chloroflexota bacterium. RNAcentral's name for it is "Chloroflexi bacterium tRNA-Ser". It matches the Rfam family "tRNA". From Rfam's summary of the family: Transfer RNA (tRNA) molecules are approximately 80 nucleotides in length. Their secondary structure includes four short double-helical elements and three loops (D, anti-codon, and T loops). The record is from RNAcentral. Lineage: Bacteria; Bacillati; Chloroflexota. RNAcentral also lists the same sequence under 3 other names.
GGAGAGGUGGCAGAGCGGUCGAAUGCGGCGGUCUUGAAAACCGUUGACCGAAAGGUCCGUGGGUUCGAAUCCCACCCUCUCCGCCA